AAUCCUUAUAAUUGCUUUUUAUCAAUUAAUUAAGUAAAAAUUCAUAAUACUCCCAAAAUCGAUGGAAUACCACUAUAAAAUCACUAUUUUGUUGAAAAAAUGAAACAACAAAGGCUCCAAACCUCUUUGAUCAUCAUCAUAUGUUACUGGAAGAUGCAACUAUGCUUUAAAACAAUAUUUUCGUGUUUUAUGAAAUUUUCUCAAAAUCCAUGUGUUAACCUCUACCAAAAUAUUGAGCUUUUGGAAAAUGUUUUAUAUACUGAAGCCUAUAAUUUUUAGUGUUGUUUUAAAAUUUCUAACCACAUUCUAUAUUUGUAUUAAUGUAUAUUAAGCUCUUUUUCAUGGUACAAUAGAAUCGUUAUAAUUUUUUUAUCAAUUAAUUUAAUAAAACUUCAUAAUACUCCUACAUCGAUGGAAUAACCACUAUAAAAUCACUAUUUUCUUAAAAAACAGAGACAACAAAGGCUCGAAACCUCUUUGAACAUCAUCAUAUAUUAGUGGAAGAUGCAACUAUGCAUUAAAACAAUAUUAUCGUAUUUUUUGAAAUUUUCUCAAAAUCUAUAUGGUAACCCCUAAGAAAAUAAUGAGUUUUUGGUAAAUAUUUUAUAUACUGAACCCUAUAAUCUUUAGUGUUGUUUUAAAAUUUCUAACCACAUUCCAUAUUUGUAUUAAUGUAUAUUAAAUUCUCUUUCAUGAUAUAUGGGUAUCGUUUUAACUUUUUUCAAUUAAUUCAGAAAAACUUCAUAAUACUCCCUAAAUUAGUGGACUAACUAUUAUAAUAUCUUUAUUUUC
Long non-coding RNA from Brassica rapa (field mustard), 792 nucleotides. RefSeq lists it as uncharacterized. The record is from RefSeq and is a predicted model, not a curated record. Lineage: Eukaryota; Viridiplantae; Streptophyta; Magnoliopsida; Brassicales; Brassicaceae.